GCAAACUUGGUCAUUUAGAGGAAGUAAAAGUCGUAACAAGGUUUCCGUAGGUGAACCUGCGGAAGGAUCAUUAAGAAGUUUGAAUUUUCCAUUCAUUACACCUCCGCUGCGUACUAGUAACUGUUGCUUCCGUGGCUAUUGCUGUUGCAAUCAUGGCCACGGAAGGUUAUUUCCGCUCACAAUUGUGUGUCAGAGUAGUUGUUAUAGAGUCGUAUUCUUAAAAACUUUCAACAAUGGAUCUCUUGGUUCUCGCAUCGAUGAAGAACGCAGC
Molecule: unclassified non-coding RNA, 271 nt
Filed under: uncultured fungus
Lineage: Eukaryota; Fungi
Description: partial contains small subunit ribosomal RNA, internal transcribed spacer 1, and 5.8S ribosomal RNA
Rfam family: Eukaryotic small subunit ribosomal RNA (bases 1-73)
Source: RNAcentral